GGCCGGUUGGCCCAAUGGCAAGGCGUCUGACUACGAUUCCACAACUUCCCUUCCCCCCCCUUGGAGCUCUAGAGGAGGGGGGCGUGGGUGGCAAUCAAUCAGUUAUCAGGAGAUUCUGGGUUCGACCCCCAGGCUGGUCA
RNAcentral lists this transfer RNA (140 nucleotides) under Colletotrichum higginsianum. Its description in RNAcentral is "tRNA CH063_16283". It matches the Rfam family "tRNA". From Rfam's summary of the family: Transfer RNA (tRNA) molecules are approximately 80 nucleotides in length. Their secondary structure includes four short double-helical elements and three loops (D, anti-codon, and T loops). Further hydrogen bonds mediate the characteristic L-shaped molecular structure. tRNAs have two regions of fundamental functional importance: the anti-codon, which is responsible for specific mRNA codon recognition, and the 3' end, to which the tRNAs corresponding amino acid is attached (by aminoacyl-tRNA synthetases). tRNAs cope with the degeneracy of the genetic code in two manners: having more than one tRNA (with a specific anti-codon) for a particular amino acid; and 'wobble' base-pairing, i.e. permitting non-standard base-pairing at the 3rd anti-codon position. The record is from Rfam by way of RNAcentral. RNAcentral also lists the same sequence under 1 other name. Lineage: Eukaryota; Fungi; Ascomycota; Sordariomycetes; Glomerellales; Glomerellaceae.